This is a small nuclear RNA of Nycticebus coucang (slow loris), 106 nucleotides long. The record is from RefSeq and is a predicted model, not a curated record. Lineage: Eukaryota; Metazoa; Chordata; Mammalia; Primates; Lorisidae.
UGCUGACGACGGCAGCACAGGUAUAAAAUUGGAAGUGAUAUAGAGAAGAUCAGCAUGGCCCUUCAGCAAGGAAGACAGGCAAAUUCAUGAAGGCUUCCACAUGUGU